RNAcentral lists this long non-coding RNA (7488 nucleotides) under Lactuca sativa (garden lettuce). Its description in RNAcentral is "long non-coding RNA (LSAT_LNC007068)". Lineage: Eukaryota; Viridiplantae; Streptophyta; Magnoliopsida; Asterales; Asteraceae. The record is from RNAcentral.
AAUUUCCACCAACCAACAAUAACCCAAUUACCCAUUCCCGUUAUUCUCACUUUAUGUCCCUAAAACAACUAACAUAAGGGACCUAGUCUAAGAAUAUUUCAUCGGGGCGACAACACAUGCUUCGGGGGUUCCUCAGCAAUAUAAGUCAAAUAAGGCAACCAUGAGGGGGAUGGAGUACAGCGAAUGAACACCCAAGUUCAUUAACACCUACAGGUGGCGAACCUGCUAAUGUUUCCACAAGACUAUCUAGAAAAGUCCGUGGUCGUCAUCUAAACUCCGCUAGAUGACUAAAUCAAACAACAACGAGGCCUCUCAUCUGUUUAUUACACACCAACUAUCUACCCAUGUUCUACCCAACAUAUUAGUAGAUAAAAAUAUACAUUUUUAUACAUAGUUUAAAAAACCUGUAUAGCAUGCUUUAAUCAAUACAUAUUUCACAUAACAGAUGAGACACACACACACACAUAACACGUAUUUCAUAGAGAAUAAAUCAUAUCUAUGAGAUAGAAGAGAUUGAAUAUACAUUCACACAUAUAACACAAAAUAUACACAUAACACGUAUUUCGUAUAAAAUACUUUAUAAUUAUGUGUUAGAAGAAAGUAACCACACACUCACACCUAUAAACAACAAUAUACUUAAUACACUCACACCGUACUUGUAUCGUGUUUAUGAAAGGUAGUAUACACUCACACCAUACUUGUAUCGUGUUUAUGAAAGGUAGUAUACACUCACUUGAUCAGAAGAUGAUCAGACAGCACUACGGCUUGUAGAAGUAGUAUCUCUCCGCAGAUCUGGAAGAUCUUCACAAAAAUCGAACUUCUCGCGGGCAGAGCUUCGACUCGGGAACCGCACUUUUCGGGAUCUUCAGGAUCUCGGGACUUGCCUCGGGGCUAGAGUAUGAUACCGGGACUUCGGGGUAGCUUCGGGGGUUUUUGCACAGAGCUUCGACACGAAAACGAGAGGGAAUUGGCAAAAAUACCCGGAACCCUCGCAUCCUAUUUAUAGGAGGCUGGAGCCUCGGAGUACGCGGGGCGUACUGCGUUACGCGGGGCGUACUGCCCAAAACGUCAUUGCUUACGUAUCCGAAGUGCUCGAGUGCGAGUGUCGACAUCCCUCGGAGUACGCGGGGCGUACUCGAGUACGCGGGGCGUACCUCGGAUCAGAUCGGUGACUCCUUCGGAUAAUGCUUCCGAAUUUUGAAUUAAAAAUAAAUACAAAAUGAUUAAUAAACUUCGGAAAUUCAUAACUUCUUCAUACGAACUCCGUUUUCGACGUUCUUUAUAUCCACGCGAAGGUGAGACCACGCUCUACGACUUUCGUUUAGACUCCGUCGGCUAAUUUUGACUUUAUUUUUAUUAAUUAUUUUUAAUAGGCCGGGACAGAAACUUUCGUUAUAAAUUCAUAACUUCUUCGUUUGACGUCCGUUCUCGCCUAACUUUUUAUCGUUUCAAUACCAACAAUGAGAUCUUCGAUUCUCAUUUAGAUUGCUUCGGCUAACAACCGCUCGAUCUCAAAUCGAGUAAAACAGGCUGUAUAUCGCUAAGCCGGAACUUCGAUAAAUCAUAACUUCCUCAUACGAAGUCAGAUUUGGGCGUUCUAUAUAUAUUCGGAAACCUCGUUUCAACUACUACAACAUUAACCAAAGAUAUUAAGUUUAUUUUACACUUAAAUUUUGACGCUUAUUUUUAUUCUUAAUUAAUCAAACCACAUAAUUAAGCAAUUAAGCACAAAACACAUAAUACUCAAAUAAUACAAUCUUAUUAUUUCAAAACGGGUUACAAAGGUUAACCUAGACUAUUACAUUGCUAAAAAUGGCAAGCCCGGAAACACAGGCGUUACAAUUCUCUCCACCUUAGAAUGAUUCCGUCCCCGGAAUCACACAUCAACAAACAAAUGCGGAUAGCGACUCAACAUGUCACUCUCCGUCUCCCAGGUGAGAUUCGGCCCAUUCGUGUGUUUCCAUCGGACAAGCACUAACCCAACCAUUUUGCGUCGCAACUUCUUAGUCUUUCGGUCAACAAUUGCCUCUGGUUCUUCAAUCAACCUUUUGUUCUCAUCAAUUCUCAAUUCAGAAAUUGGAAUUAUAUCGGGAACUUCUCCCGUGAACUUCCUCAAAUAACACACAUGAAAGGUGUUGUGAAUUCCAUUCAGUUCUUCGGGUAAUUCGAGCUUGUAAGCUUGAUUCCCAAUCCUCUGAAGGACUUUAAACGGUCCAAUAAACCUUGGACUCAACUUUCCCCUUUUACCAAAUCUUAUAAGUCCCUUCCACGGCGAGACUUUAAGCAAAACCGAAUCUCCAACCUCAAAAGUCAUCGGUCUUCGCUUCUUGUCAGCAUAGCUCUUUUGACGAUCUUGAGCUGCUAACAUUCUUUCCCUAAUUAUUUUCAACUUUUCAGCAGUUUGAUGAACCAUCUCCGGUCCCAUAAACUGCUUUUCCCCAGCCUCAAGCCAACAAGACGGCGUACGACACUUCUGUCCAUACAAAGCUUGAUAAGGUGCCAUCUUAAUGCUCGAGUGAAAACUAUUAUUAUAGGAAAAUUCUACCAACGGUAAAUGUUCAUCCCAAUUACCUAGGAAUUCCAAGGUACAUGCUCUCAGCAUAUCUUCAAGUGUUUGUAUUGUUCUUUCACUCUGACCAUCAGUCUGCGGAUGGUAAGCUGUGCUUAAACAUAACUUGGUACCCAUUUCCUCUUGUAGACUUUUCCAAAACCUUGAGGUGAAACGGCUAUCACGAUCCGAUACAAUCGUUAACGGAACACCGUGAAGCCUCACAAUUUCCUUCACGUAAGAAUUCGCAAGCUUUUCCAUAGACCAUUUCUCCCUGGCCGCUAUGAAAUGCGCACUCUUAGUGAAUCGAUCAACGACCACCCAAAUCAUGUCGUGACCAUUCUUUGUUCUGGGCAGUUUAGUGACAAAAUCCAUAGCAAUGUCUUCCCACUUACCCAUAGGCACAGGCAAUGGUUCUAAACUCCCGUAAGGUUUCUGAUGUUGUGUCUUGACUCUCGCACAAGUCACACACUCGGCCACAUACUUUGCAACAUCAAGCUUCAUCGUCGGCCACCAGUAGUAGGGUUUCAGGUCCCUAUACAUUUUAGUGCUACCCGGAUGAAUUGAGUACAUGGUUUUGUGAGCUUCUUCCAUCAGAAGAUCCCUAAUUCCUCCUGACUUAGGUACCCAAAUACGAUCUUGGAAUACCUUCAGUCCAUGACCGUUAGUACCAAACACCAACGUUUUACCCAAACGUUCCUCCUUUCGGUCAUUUUUCUCAGAAGCUUCCUCUUGAGCUUUCUUUAUACUUUCCACAAUAGUCGAGACAACUUCAAUUCUCAACGCUCUUGGCCUCUUCCUUUCAAGAUUGACUUUCCGACUGAGAGCAUCAGCAACAACAUUAGCUUUACCGGGGUGGUAAAGUAUCUCGCAGUCGUAGUCUUUAAGUAAUUCUAGCCAGCGUCGUUGCCUCAUAUUCAAUUCUUUCUGAUUAAAGAGGUAUUGGAGACUCUUAUGAUCAGUGAAAAGUUUGCACUUCGUGCCAUAGAGGUAAUGCCUCCAUAUUUUCAGAGCGAAAACUACCGCUGCCAACUCCAAAUCAUGAGUCGGGUAAUUCUUUUCAUGCUCUUUCAGCUGUCGAGACGCAUAUGCUAUCACCUUUUCUCUUUGGGUCAAAACACAACCCAAUCCAACACCAGACGCAUCGCUAUAAACAGCGAAGUCUUCAACUCCAUCGGGUAGAGAAAGUAUCGGUGCCUCGCAUAGCUUCUUCUUUAACUUCUCGAAUGCUUCUUUAUGCUUCUCACUCCAAGCAUAAGUAGCUCCUUUGUGGGUCAAAGCUGUUAAUGGAGUAGCAAUCGAAGAAAAGCCUUGGAUAAACCUUCGGUAAUAUCCGGCUAAUCCUAAAAAGCUUCGAAUCUCCGUGGGACUUUUCGGUUGUUCCCACUUCGUCACAGCUUCGAUCUUCGCUGGAUCAACCAUUAUCCCUUCUUGGUUGACCACGUGACCCAAGAAUUGGACCUCACGAAUCCAAAAAUCACAUUUGGAGAACUUCGCAUAAAGCUUCUCCUUCUUCAAAACUUCUAACACUUCUCGCAAGUGUCUGCCAUGCUCCUCCUGGCUUUUCGAGUAGAUCAGAAUGUCGUCUAUGAACACUAUCACGGAUUUAUCAAGGAAAGGAUUACAAACCCUAUUCAUCAAAUCCAUGAACGCUGCUGGAGCAUUGGUUAGUCCAAACGACAUAACCAAGAACUCGUAGUGUCCAUAUCUAGUUCUGAAUGCAGUCUUCUCGAUAUCUUGCUCUCUUACUUUCAGCUGAUGAUAUCCUGACCUAAGAUCGAUCUUCGAGAAAUAGCUCGAACCUUGCAAUUGAUCAAACAGGUCAUCAAUCCUCGGCAACGGAUAUCUAUUCUUUAUUGUUGCCUUGUUCAGCUCUCUGUAAUCGAUGCACAUUCUCAUACUUCCAUCUUUCUUCUUUACAAAUAACACCGGAGCUCCCCAGGGCGAUGAACUAGGUCUAAUGAAACCUUUGUCCAAUAACUCCUGAAGUUGCAUCAUCAGCUCCUUCAUCUCCGUCGGUGCUAAUCGAUAAGGUGCUUUUGCUAUUGGCGUGGUUCCUGGUAACAAGUCUAUUCUGAACUCCACUUGUCUAUCAGGUGGUAAUCCAGGAAGAUCCUCGGGAAAUACUUCCGGAUAAUCACACACCACUGGAAUACUCUGCAUCACCUUCUUUUCUUUCUUAGCAUCAAUCACGAAUGCUAAAUAUGAUGUACAUCCCUUGGUCAAACACUUUCUGGCUUUCAUUAGAGAAAUGAUUCCAGAAUUCACUCUGCGUUUGUCCCCAUACACCAUAAACGAAUCUUUCCCAGGCGGGUUUACUUUAACUAUCUUCUUCUUGCACAAAAUUUCGGCAUCAUUGGCGCUAAGCCAAUCCAUUCCCAAGACGAUGUCGAAACCAUUUAGUUCGAUAGGCAAUAAUUCCUCGAGAAACUUAUUCCCAUUAAGGUCGAUCAAGACGUUUUUCAUACGAUGGCUAACAGGUACAAACUUGCCACUAGCUACUUCGACUAAUAAAGCAUUAUUUAGUCUAUCAACAGGCAAAGCUAGCUUUCUACCAAACUCAUGCGAAAUAAAGGAGUAGUUGGCUCCAGAAUCAAACAAUAUAUGAGCAGGUAAUUCGUUUACGAGAAAGGUACCUGAAGCGACAUCAGCUUCAUCUUUCGCAGCCUCAAGUGUCAUCUGGAAGGCUCUCGCCUUCGGCUUUGGUGGAAUGUUGGGCCUAGCUGCCUCCUUCUUCUUCGGACAGUCUUUCAAAAUAUGCCCCUCUUCAUUACACCCAAAACACAUCCUUUUGUUGUUCGGACAUUCAUUGGCAAAAUGUCCAACCUUUCCACACUUGUAGCAGGUUACAUCCUCGCUACAUUUCCCAAAGUGCUUUUUCCUACACUUAUCACACCACUUCGCUUCGCCUCCUUUUCCUCCAAACUUUUUCGAAUCAAAUUUCGAAAAUUUACUCUUCUUACUGGAACCAGAUGUUCCUUCAAACUUCCUUUUCUCACCAACCUCAACCUUGACGGUGGUUCUCCCCUUGAUCAUGUUCUCCACAGACUUGGCAGCCCAGAUAGCUGCCUCUAGAGUAAGUGCCUGACGUACCGGCACCUCGUACUCCCAUGGAAGUCCCUUCGCAUACCGAUCCACCUUUGUCAGCUCGUCUGGAACGAUACGCAAGGCAAACUCCAUCUUAUCGGUGAAGUUAUUGGUGUACUCAUCCACUGACAUGCUACCCUUCGUCAAUGUCAAAAACUUGUUCUCCAACUCCAACAGAUUUUGAGCCGAGCAGAACUUGCGCUUGAACUGCACCAAGAACUCUGCCCAUGACAAUUGCAGUGGCUCAUUAGGGCUUAAGGUCUUCCCUAGAGUGUUCCACCAACGAACAGCUCCACCUCGGAAUUGACGCACGGCAUAGAUAGUUUGCAACUUACCUCUGCAGCCACACGUCAUGAAGGCUAGCUCCAUUUCGGAGAUCCAAUCCAUAACCCCAAUCGGAUCCUCCUUUCCAUUGAAGGUCGAUGGUUUACAAGUCAAAAAGUCCUUGUACUUGCAUCCCAUUCCAUCAUUCCUUCCAUCAUGGUUAUCUUGCCUAACUAUCGGUGGGUUGGCUGGACCAACAGACCCACUGAAGUUUCCACCUUCCGAGUGCCCUUCAUUUAAUUCAGGCUCUUCCACACGAAUCGACAGUUCUUCACGAUUUUGUUGAAGCAACCGUCUAGUUUCAUCCAUCUGACGAUCCAACAUCGUCUGAAUCAUCAAUUGCACACCAGCCAUGGUUAUUGGCUCAGGUGCUGCUGCUACGACAGGUAUUGGCUCAAUCACUGGUGGUUGAUUCCUGUUUUCGUCAGCAUUUCCAACUCCACUUCUUGUUCUCACCAUUUUGAUCUACACCGAAUAAGGUGAAAUUAGAUCCUCAAUCAUGAUAGAUAUUCAAAUCAUCCUUAUCACUCCGAAACGUUUACAUGCUAGUUCUAAUAUCGUAGACGUACGCUUAGAAUCCUACACACAUAAGGUUUCUAGAUCCGGUCGGCAACAGACCAUAGAUCCGAACAAAUAAUAUCAUAUAUGGCAACAUAUAACAUUUAGCACAUAAAGCAUUUUAGGCAACUUUCCUAAAAUAAACUAGUGCUCGUGUCUAAAAUAUCACAGACACACAUCUCAAAAUUUCACUUAGCAUUCUAAGUUUAAGUCUAGAAAUCCUACAAAUUCCUAGUUCGCUUAAACUAAUGCUCUGAUACCAUCUGUGACAUCCCCAAAAUCUCGGCCAGAAAAGACCGAUUUUCAUUUAUGCUUUUAAAAUAAUUUCAGAGUAAAUCCUUUUGAUUUGAAAGAGUUGCGGAAUUUGUUCCCAAAAACAAAACAUGAUAAAACAAUGUUUACCAAAGCAUUUCAUAAAAGAAAUGUAUUUUCAUUAUAUAAUCAAAACUCGGGGUGUCAUGUUCCGAUACAGACCAAUAAGCAUAAACGAUAACAUUACAAGUCAUUCAACAAAUAUAUACAUAUACAGACUUGUAAACAAAACAACUUGAUGGUUCAUCCAUCUUAUGCCCUCGCGCCACUUCCUGUAAUACAAAUAAAACUGAGUGGGUCAGGCUUGGGAGCCUGGUGAGCAUAUAGGGUUUUCAACCCACAAUAAAUAAUUAUAUUUAAUUUCCACCAACCAACAAUAACCCAAUUACCCAUUCCCGUUAUUCUCACUUUAUGUCCCUAAGACAACUAACAUAAGGGACCUAGUCUAAGAAUAUUUCAUCGGGGCGACAACACAUGCUUCGGGGGUUCCUUAGCAAUAUAAGUCAAAUAAGGCAACCAUGAGGGGGAUGGAGUACAAUGAAUGAACACCUAAGUUCAUUAACACCUACAGGUGGUGAACCUGCUAAUGUUCCACAAGACUAUCUAGAAAAGUCCGUGGUCAUCAUCUAAACUCCGCUACAUGACUAAAUCAAACAACA